RNAcentral lists this ribosomal RNA (483 nucleotides) under uncultured bacterium. RNAcentral's name for it is "partial 16S ribosomal RNA". It matches the Rfam family "Bacterial small subunit ribosomal RNA", at positions 30 to 508 of the family's 1533-position model. The record is from RNAcentral.
AUUGAACGCUGGCGGCAUGCUUUACACAUGCAAGUCGAACGGUAACAGGCCGCAAGGUGCUGACGAGUGGCGAACGGGUGAGUAAUGCAUCGGAACGUGCCCAGUCGUGGGGGAUAACUACUCGAAAGAGUAGCUAAUACCGCAUACGAUCUAUUGAUGAAAGCGGGGGACCGUAAGGCCUCGCGCGAUUGGAGCGGCCGAUGUCAGAUUAGGUAGUUGGUGGGGUAAAGGCUCACCAAGCCAACGAUCUGUAGCUGGUCUGAGAGGACGACCAGCCACACUGGGACUGAGACACGGCCCAGACUCCUACGGGAGGCAGCAGUGGGGAAUUUUGGACAAUGGGCGCAAGCCUGAUCCAGCAAUGCCGCGUGCAGGAAGAAGGCCUUCGGGUUGGAAACUGCUUUUGUACGGAACGAAACGGCUCUGGUUAAUACCCGGGGCUAAUGACGGUACCGUAAGAAUAAGCACCGGCUAACUACGUGC